GCUGGCAGGGAUGACACACUUGCCCUCGCAUAGAUUCUGCUGAUGAGAACAUCUCUCCGUACUCGACUGUUCUGAGCCAGC
Molecule: small nucleolar RNA, 81 nt
Filed under: Ornithorhynchus anatinus (platypus)
Lineage: Eukaryota; Metazoa; Chordata; Mammalia; Monotremata; Ornithorhynchidae
Description: Small nucleolar RNA SNORD103/SNORD85 (ENSOANG00000024575.2)
Rfam family: Small nucleolar RNA SNORD103/SNORD85
About the family: This family includes the snoRNAs SNORD103 (U103) and SNORD85 (HBII-251) . The members of this family belong to the C/D class of snoRNAs which contain the C (UGAUGA) and D (CUGA) box motifs. In the human genome, there are two identical copies of SNORD103 (SNORD103A and SNORD103B) which share the same host gene with SNORD85.
Source: Rfam by way of RNAcentral